AACGAACGCUGGCGGCAUGCCUAACACAUGCAAGUCGAACGAGACCUUCGGGUCUAGUGGCGCACGGGUGCGUAACGCGUGGGAACCUGCCCUUAGGUUCGGAAUAACUCCCCGAAAGGGGUGCUAAUACCGGAUAAUGUCUUCGGACCAAAGAUUUAUCGCCUUUGGAUGGGCCCGCGUUGGAUUAGCUAGUUGGUAGGGUAAAAGCCUACCAAGGCGACGAUCCAUAGCUGGUCUGAGAGGAUGAUCAGCCACACUGGGACUGAGACACGGCCCAGACUCGUACGGGAGGCAGCAGUGGGGAAUAUUGGGCAAUGGGCGAAAGCCUGAUCCAGCAAUGCCGCGUGAGUGAUGAAGGCCUUAGGGUUGUAAAGCUCUUUUACCCGGGAUGAUAAUGACAGUACCGGGAGAAUAAGCUCCGGCUAACUCCGUG
RNAcentral lists this ribosomal RNA (433 nucleotides) under uncultured bacterium. RNAcentral describes it as "partial 16S ribosomal RNA". It matches the Rfam family "Bacterial small subunit ribosomal RNA", at positions 29 to 507 of the family's 1533-position model. The record is from RNAcentral.